UACGUAGGGGGCAAGCGUUAUCCGGAAUUACUGGGUGUAAAGGGAGCGUAGACGGUAAUGUAAGUCUGGAGUGAAAGGCGGGGGCCCAACCCCCGGACUGCUCUGGAAACUAUGUUACUAGAGUGCAGGAGAGGUAAGCGGAAUUCCUAGUGUAGCGGUGAAAUGCGUAGAUAUUAGGAGGAGCGCCAGUGGCGAAGGCGGCUUACUGGACUGUAACUGACGUUGAGGCUCGAAAGCGUGGGGAGCAAACAGG
This 253-nucleotide ribosomal RNA is filed under the name uncultured bacterium. Its description in RNAcentral is "partial 16S ribosomal RNA". It matches the Rfam family "Bacterial small subunit ribosomal RNA", at positions 524 to 776 of the family's 1533-position model. The record is from RNAcentral.